GGCAAAAGCUCAAAUUUGAAAUCUGGCGUCCUCUGGGCGUCCGAGUUGUAAUUUGGAGGAGCGUCUUCGGGAGCGGCACCGUCCUAAGUUCUUUGGAACAGGACGUCAUAGAGGGUGAGAAUCCCGUGCCUGGGCGGUUGACCGUUCCCAUGCGAAGUGCUUCCGACGAGUCGAGUUGUUUGGGAAUGCAGCUCAAAAUGGGUGGUAAAUUUCAUCUAAAGCUAAAUAUUGGCGAGAGACCGAUAGCGCACAAGUAGAGUGAUCGAAAGAUGAAAAGCACUUUGAAAAGAGAGUUAAAAAGUACGUGAAAUUGUUGAAAGGGAAGCGCUUGAGAUCAAACUCGGCCUCUGGUGAUCCGCUGGGCUUCUGUCCGGUGAAACUUUGCCAUUGGCCGGGCCAGCAUCGGUUCUGACGGUGGGAAAAACGGCCAGGGAACGUGGCUCCUCUCGGGGAGUGUUAUAGACCUGGCCUUCGAUACUGCCAGUUGGGACCGAGGACCGCGCUUCGGCUAGGAUGCUGGCGUAAUGGUCUUAAGCGACCCGU
RNAcentral lists this ribosomal RNA (543 nucleotides) under Octospora aff. rustica. RNAcentral's name for it is "partial large subunit ribosomal RNA". It matches the Rfam family "Eukaryotic large subunit ribosomal RNA", at positions 100 to 652 of the family's 3401-position model. Lineage: Eukaryota; Fungi; Ascomycota; Pezizomycetes; Pezizales; Pyronemataceae. The record is from RNAcentral.